AUUGAACGCUGGCGGCAGGCCUAACACAUGCAAGUCGAGCGGAUGAAGGGUGCUUGCUCCUGGAUUCAGCUGCGGACGGGUGUGUAAUUCCUAGGAAUCUGCCUGGUAUUUGGGGAUAACGUCCGGACACGGGCGCUAAUCCCGCAUACGUCCUGAUGUUGAACGUGUUGGUUCUUCUUACCUCACGCUUUCAUAUGUGCCUAGUUCGUAUUAGCUAGUUGGUUUGGUAAAGUCCUACCAAGGCGACGAUCCGUAACUGGUCUGAGAGGAUGAUCAGUAACACUGGAAGUGAGAAACGGAAAAGAAACAUACGGGAGGCAGCAGUGGGGAAUAUUGGAAAAUGGGGGAAAGCAUGAUACAGCAAAGGCGGGGGGGAGAAGAAGGGAUUCGGAUUGGAAAGAAAGUUAAGUGGGGAGGAAGGGAAGUAAGUUAAAACCAUGCUGGUAUGACGGUAACAAAAGAAUAAGCAACGGCUAACUACGUG
This 484-nucleotide ribosomal RNA is filed under the name uncultured bacterium. Its description in RNAcentral is "partial 16S ribosomal RNA". It matches the Rfam family "Bacterial small subunit ribosomal RNA", at positions 30 to 507 of the family's 1533-position model. The record is from RNAcentral.